CCAGACUCCUACGGGAGGCAGCAGUGAGGAAUAUUGGUCAAUGGCCGAGAGGCUGAACCAGCCAAGUCGCGUGAGGGAAGACGGCCCUACGGGUUGUAAACCUCUUUUGUCGGGGAGCAAAGAGAGUCACGUGUGGCUCAUUGAGAGUACCCGAAGAAAAAGCAUCGGCUAACUCCGUGCCAGCAGCCGCGGUAAUACGGAGGAUGCGAGCGUUAUCCGGAUUUAUUGGGUUUAAAGGGUGCGUAGGCGGAAUAGCAAGUCAGCGGUAAAAAUUCGGGGCUCAACCCCGUCGUGCCGUUGAAACUGAUGUUCUUGAGUGGGCGAGAAGUAUGCGGAAUGCGUGGUGUAGCUGUGAAAUGCAUAGAUAUCGCGCAGAACUCCGAUUGCGAAGGCAGCGUACCGGCGCCAGACUGACGCUGAGGCACGAAAGCGUGGGGAUCGAACAGGAUUAGAUACCCCAGUAU
Molecule: ribosomal RNA, 464 nt
Filed under: uncultured bacterium
Lineage: Bacteria
Description: bacterial SSU rRNA
Rfam family: Bacterial small subunit ribosomal RNA
Source: RNAcentral